UACGGAGGGGGCUAGCGUUGUUCGGAAUUACUGGGCGUAAAGCGCACGUAGGCGGCUUUGUAAGUUAGAGGUGAAAGCCCAGGGCUUAACCCUCGAAUUGCCUUUAAGACUGCAUCGCUAGAAUCGUGGAGAGGUGAGUGGAAUUCCGAGUGUAGAGGUGAAAUUCGUAGAUAUUCGGAAGAACACCAGUGGCGAAGGCGACUCACUGGACACGUAUUGACGCUGAGGUGCGAAAGCGUGGGGAGCAAACAGG
Molecule: ribosomal RNA, 253 nt
Filed under: uncultured bacterium
Lineage: Bacteria
Description: partial 16S ribosomal RNA
Rfam family: Bacterial small subunit ribosomal RNA
Source: RNAcentral